This is a long non-coding RNA of Aricia agestis (brown argus), 85 nucleotides long. RefSeq lists it as uncharacterized. Lineage: Eukaryota; Metazoa; Arthropoda; Insecta; Lepidoptera; Lycaenidae. The transcript has 3 exons. The record is from RefSeq and is a predicted model, not a curated record.
UAAACAAAAAGUUUAAAGUUAGUGUCUGUUUAUUGUAUUUGACAGUGACUCCCAGCGCCCUCUCCAUACACGACCGGUCCGUCGC